UGAGGCGAACCGGGGGAACUGAAACAUCUAAGUACCCCGAGGAAAAGAAAUCAACCGAGAUUCCCCCAGUAGCGGCGAGCGAACGGGGAGCAGCCCAGAGCCUGAAUCAGUGUGUGUGUUAGUGGAAGCGUCUGGAAAGGCGCGCGAUACAGGGUGACAGCCCCGUACACAAAAAUGCACAUGCUGUGAGCUCGAUGAGUAGGGCGGGACACGUGGUAUCCUG
Molecule: ribosomal RNA, 223 nt
Filed under: Escherichia coli
Lineage: Bacteria; Pseudomonadati; Pseudomonadota; Gammaproteobacteria; Enterobacterales; Enterobacteriaceae
Description: partial 23S ribosomal RNA
Rfam family: Bacterial large subunit ribosomal RNA
Source: RNAcentral